GGAGAGAUGUCCGAGUUGGCCGAAGGAGCACGAUUGGAAAUCGUGUAACGGCUUAUCCCCGUUCCAGAGUUCGAAUCUCUGUCUCUCCGCCA
Molecule: transfer RNA, 92 nt
Filed under: Desulfovibrionaceae bacterium
Lineage: Bacteria; Pseudomonadati; Thermodesulfobacteriota; Desulfovibrionia; Desulfovibrionales; Desulfovibrionaceae
Also listed under: 1 other name
Description: tRNA-Ser
Rfam family: tRNA
About the family: Transfer RNA (tRNA) molecules are approximately 80 nucleotides in length. Their secondary structure includes four short double-helical elements and three loops (D, anti-codon, and T loops).
Source: RNAcentral